GUCCACGCCGUAAACGAUGGGCACUAGGUGCUGGGGGAACGACCCCUUCGGUGCCGCAGCUAACGCGAUAAGUGCCCCGCCUGGGGAGUACGGCCGCAAGGCUGAAACUCAAAGGAAUUGACGGGGCCCGCACAAGCGGUGGAGCAUGUGGUUUAAUUCGAAGCAACGCGAAGAACCUUACCUGGGUUUGACAUGCUGGUGUAAGCCUGGUGAAAGCCAGGCCCUCCUUCGGGACACCAGUGCAGGUGCUGCAUGGCUGUCGU
RNAcentral lists this ribosomal RNA (263 nucleotides) under uncultured bacterium. RNAcentral describes it as "partial 16S ribosomal RNA". It matches the Rfam family "Bacterial small subunit ribosomal RNA", at positions 793 to 1055 of the family's 1533-position model. The record is from RNAcentral.